RNAcentral lists this ribosomal RNA (858 nucleotides) under Hymenoscyphus microserotinus. Its description in RNAcentral is "eukaryotic LSU rRNA". It matches the Rfam family "Eukaryotic large subunit ribosomal RNA", at positions 68 to 943 of the family's 3401-position model. Lineage: Eukaryota; Fungi; Ascomycota; Leotiomycetes; Helotiales; Helotiaceae. The record is from RNAcentral.
ACAGGGAUUACCUCAGUAACGGCGAGUGAAGCGGUAACAGCUCAAAUUUGAAAUCUGGCUCUUUCAGGGUCCGAGUUGUAAUUUGUAGAAGAUGCUUUGGGUGUGGCUCCGGUCUAAGUUCCUUGGAACAGGACGUCAUAGAGGGUGAGAAUCCCGUAUGUGACUGGCUGCCUUCGCCUAUGUAAAGCUCUUUCGACGAGUCGAGUUGUUUGGGAAUGCAGCUCUAAAUGGGAGGUAUAUUUCUUCUAAAGCUAAAUAUUGGCCAGAGACCGAUAGCGCACAAGUAGAGUGAUCGAAAGAUGAAAAGCACUUUGGAAAGAGAGUUAAACAGUACGUGAAAUUGUUGAAAGGGAAGCGCUUGCAACCAGACUUGCAUGCCGUCGAUCAUCCUGGGUUCUCCCUGGUGCACUCGGCGGCGUUCAGGCCAGCAUCGGUUUCGGUGGUUGGAUAAAGGCCUUGGGAAUGUAGCUCCUCUCGGGGAGUGUUAUAGCCCUCGGUGCAAUGCAGCCUACCGGGACCGAGGACCGCGCUUCGGCUAGGAUGCUGGCGUAAUGGUUGUAAGCGACCCGUCUUGAAACACGGACCAAGGAGUCUAACAUCUAUGCGAGUGUUUGGGUGUUAAACCCAUACGCGUAAUUAACGUGAACGGAGGUGAGAACCCUUUAGGGUGCAUCAUCGACCGAUCCUGAUGUCUUCGGAUGGAUUUGAGUAAGAGCAUAGCUGUUGGGACCCGAAAGAUGGUGAACUAUGCCUAAAUAGGGUGAAGCCAGAGGAAACUCUGGUGGAGGCUCGCAGCGGUUCUGACGUGCAAAUCGAUCGUCAAAUUUGGGUAUAGGGGCGAAAGACUAAUCGAACCAU